UUUGAAGCACAUCAGCUUCAUUCAGUCACACACAGCAGUCACUUGAACAACAGGAUCACCCCACGCCACUCAGAUCUGGACUACCGUUCACUUUUCACAGCCUGGAAUCCUGGAUGUCACGCCAUCAAGGAAAGCCUUCACCACUGGAACCAUGCUUCCGGAUUUCUGAAUGCCACCAACCUGAACCAACAUGGUGCUGAACAUUGGAUAGGCUUUGAUGGAUGAUUUGAACUGAUGGCGAGCUGCCCUGGAACGAACUGGAAAACAGUCUGACAAGUUUCACGCCUUCACCCACCCCACUCAUUGGCAGGCCUCAAGCCCCACAGCUUCAUCCCUUCCCCAAUGGUGUGUCCUGCCCACCACACUGCUACAGUCCUCCAGAUAGAGGACUUGGACCUCUGCAGUUAUCCAGAUAAAGGACGUUAAUCCCUGGUGGGUUUCUGGAAGCUGGAUCCGCCUCCCCAGGAAGACCUGGACCACCUGACUGCUCCGCUCGACCCGGCUGCUUGCUGGAUCACUGGAUCCUCCCACCCGGACCGGUUGCACCCCUGGCUCUCCCCUCUGUCCGCCGCCACUCUUUGCCGAUCGCCGUCAACGUGUGCCUCCCCGACUGCCGGCCCCACCUUCAGUCCUAGUUUGAUUAUGCGCCCCCUCCCCCCCCAAUUCUGUUUUGUUUAGUUGUUAUUAUUGAUUUAAACCCAUUUAAUUGGAAUCUGUCUCUGCCUUUCUGUGUGCUGUCCCUUUGGGUUGUUUUGUAUCAACUUUAAAGUGUAUUAGGUGUGCUUUGAAUGUCAACAUUACCAAAGUAUAUCUAAAUAUAAAGAAAAGAUACCAACCAGCAAGACAGAGGAGAGAGGCCUACUCUGUGUGUGGGCAUGCAAAUCUUGCUUUAUAGCAUGGGCUUCCCCAUUGACAGAUGGCAUCCCAUACAAAAAAAGAAAAAAAAUUUCUCUUUGGCACGAAACUAUGGAAUAAAACUGCUAAAUCAUGAAAAGAAAUCUGAUAAAUAUGGACAAUACAUUCUUUGGUCUGUGAAGACCAAAAAAACCCCCCAAAAAACAUGUUUGACUCAGCAUGCUUAGGGUGAACCUGGCCAGAACUGCCACAAUGAAUGCACAAUCCUGACAGCCCUGACCUAUCAGUACGCAGCCAGCCAGCUGGUGUCAUUGUUGACAGAGCAUGAUGCUGACUCAGUUGUAAUCAUCUGUUCAAGAAUCUUGGGCCAAAAGUGACCUACAAUGGGAUACUGUGUUGGAAUGAAGUGUUAUUUCUGCUUAGCAUUGGGAAGCAUAGAUUUCCUAUUUGUUGAAAUAUUUACAUUGUUGUUAGUCAAAAAAAAAAGUGACCCGUGACUACCUCAUUUGCUUAAAUCACUGUGGUUACCCCUCCUGCAUUUACAUUUCCUGAUUACAGAGAAUCUCAAAGGUUAUACUUUCUUCCAGGUUAACACAAGGCAUGUAUAACUAAAAAGUAAUAUUGGAGAUGUGAAUAGAGUGGAGCAGAGCUCAGAAUGAAAUUAUGAUUGAAAUUCAGUUGAGAUGAGCCGUCUCUGGAAUAGUCAACUCUAAACCAAGCUAACAGCCACUUUUUUUUCUCUUUAUUAGCUUCAUCUCAAUUCCAUCAAUUCAAAUUUAGUCAAGAUUGGACUGGGGCUCCAAAAAAAAAAAAAAAAUGCCCUAGAUGUUUUUAGCCAUACCAGCCCAUGACAGCCAGCCAGUGUAUAGUCUACAACCCCUGCUGCAACAAUGUACAUACAGUAAAGGGCUGUAAAGUUUGUGAACUCUCUGCAGUUUUCUACAUUUUUGCUCAAAUUUGACCCAUUAUCAGAGUUUCAGAAGUCCUAAACAUAGAUAAACAGAACUCAGUCUAACAAAUUACAUAGGAAUACAUUUAUUUUUUUUUUGAGGAAAAUUACUCCAUAAUCCAUAUGUGUAACGGGCAAACGUAUAUGAACCUCUAGGAUUAACAGUUAAUGUGACAGUAUAAAAUUCUUAUGAUUAGUAAAACAUAAUUCCUACUCUUCAUUUGUACAGCAGCUGUAUUCUCUAAUUUGCUGUUGCAGUGACGAAUAAUUUUUCUGAAAUAUUAAAGUUAAAAAAAUGAA
Molecule: long non-coding RNA, 2104 nt
Organism: Amphiprion ocellaris (clown anemonefish)
Lineage: Eukaryota; Metazoa; Chordata; Actinopteri; Pomacentridae
Exons: 4
Source: RefSeq, a predicted model, not a curated record